GAAUAAGCAUUGUCGGCACUUGAGAAUGUAAAGUGAUGAUCAGCUAUCGUAUUUCAUGUCGUAAUAGUAGUCACGUUAGGGUGAUAUAACGAGGCGAGAGUUAUAUCAUCAUAGUGCGAUUUCUAUUAUGACAUAAAAUACGUUUUGGAUUUUAAAACACUUGACCUUCUUAAGUGCUGAUAAUGCUUCUUUC
Arabidopsis thaliana (thale cress) is the source of this 193-nucleotide microRNA precursor. It matches the Rfam family "MIR868 microRNA precursor family". The record is from Rfam. Lineage: Eukaryota; Viridiplantae; Streptophyta; Magnoliopsida; Brassicales; Brassicaceae.